CCUACGGGAGGCAGCAGUGAGGAAUAUUGGUCAAUGGGCGGGAGCCUGAACCAGCCAAGUCGCGUGAGGGAAGACGGUCCUGUGUAUUGUAAACCUCUUUUGUCGGGGAGCAAUGCCGGGCACUCGUCCCCGGAUGGAGAGUACCCGCAGAAUAAGCAUCGCCUACUCCCGUGCCAGCGGCCGCGGGAAUACGGAGGAUCCGAGGGUGAUCCGGAUUUAUUGGGUUUAAAGGGUGCGUAGGCGGAUUUUAAAGUCAGCGGUAAAAGGUCGGGGCUCAACCCGGGCCGGCCGUUGAAACUGGGGAGCUUGAGUGGGAGAGAAGUACGCGGAAUGCGUGGUGUAGCGGUGAAAUGCAUAGAUAUCGCGCAGAACUCCGAUUGCGAAGGCAGCAUGCCGGCUCCACACUGACGCUGAGGCACGAAAGCGUGGGUAUCGAACAGGAUUAGAUACCCCUGUAGUC
RNAcentral lists this ribosomal RNA (460 nucleotides) under uncultured bacterium. RNAcentral describes it as "partial 16S ribosomal RNA". It matches the Rfam family "Bacterial small subunit ribosomal RNA", at positions 338 to 795 of the family's 1533-position model. The record is from RNAcentral.